CCGAAGCCGGUGAGGUUCGGCAGGAUGGCGUUGCGGGCGGCGUAGCGGAUCGCGAUCGUGCGGCCGUGCAGCCCGUUCGCCUCGGC
Molecule: transfer RNA, 86 nt
Filed under: Microbacterium foliorum
Lineage: Bacteria; Bacillati; Actinomycetota; Actinomycetes; Micrococcales; Microbacteriaceae
Description: tRNA-Arg
Source: RNAcentral